AUACUUACCUGGCAGGGGAGAUACCAUGAUCACAAAGGUGGUUUUCCCAGGGCGAGGCUUAAUUGCACUCUGGAUGGGCUGACCUCUGCGAUUUCCCCAAAUGUGAGAAACUUGACUGCAUAAUUUGUGGUAGUGGGGGACAGUGUUCAUGCUUUCCCCUA
Molecule: small nuclear RNA, 161 nt
Organism: Otolemur garnettii (small-eared galago)
Lineage: Eukaryota; Metazoa; Chordata; Mammalia; Primates; Galagidae
Gene: U1
Rfam family: U1 spliceosomal RNA
About the family: U1 is a small nuclear RNA (snRNA) component of the spliceosome (involved in pre-mRNA splicing). Its 5' end forms complementary base pairs with the 5' splice junction, thus defining the 5' donor site of an intron.
Source: Ensembl